UGCUGGGAGGCAUAGAAUAGCAAACAGCCUUUUAUUAAAUGCAAACGGGUAGAUCCACACCAGCCAGGGAAGAUGACACACGUUCACAACAUGUACGUUAAUAGACCCAACAAACACAGAGUGAACAGACUGGGGCUAAAUACACAGGAUAAUGAGAGAAUUGGGUGGAACACAGGUGAACAGAAUGACUAAUCAGAGUCACGGAGCACAUGGGAGGGAAAACACAACAAAGACAAUGAUAUUCAACAUGUUAAUGAGAUUGAUCAUAUGAGCAAAUCCCAGAGGAAAAAAGUCAAAUAAUUAUGAAUUUGUCUUUCUGCCCAGAGGUUCUCCUGAAGGUGGAAUCAACCCUUUUCAUAAGCACAGAUGUGUGUGUGUGUGUGUGUGUGUGUGUUCACACUGCCAUCAGCGAUCUGUCAUCACACAAUGAUUGCCAUUAUCACCGGUGAACAGAUUUCCACUGUUGGUUUGUUUGUGCUUGUGGACAUGUUUAUCCUUGCCACAUGUUUGUCUUCUUGUGUCAUAACCACUAGACAAUGAAUUUUCUAAGCCGCCUCUGGUGAUGUAUUCCAGAACAAAUCAGAGUUAGAGAGUUGUGAAGCGGAAGCUGGAAGCAGGCCGAUCCCGACACACUGCAGGUAGACGACCCGAGGAGGAAGAAAUGAGUGUGAUUGGUGUUACACUACAGAGCUACAACAUUUGUAUAUGUAUGAGCACAUUUAACAGGGCAGAGACGCACUAAUUGUUUAAAUGUCAAACAGCCAAUAAAGUGACUGACAGCCUGUCACUCCCUGUUUGUUUCAUGAUGUAGAGUGCGAUUAAAUAGGGGUUUUAUAGCAGUGACAUUUACAGAUGCGCUACUGUUUUUCUUUGUUUUUUCCCAUCUGACUGCCAUGAAGAGAGAUGCUCGCCAUCAUUUCUGCUCUCUACAAUUAAAACUGACAUUAACAACUCUCUGAAUGCUGACAUUUAAUCAGAUCCAUCAUUCUUUACAUACUGGAGAGGGGAGAUCUUUUCAUUUUGGGCCCGUGAUAAGGUUACCGAAUCCAAUUAGAAUGGAUGAAUUACUGGCCGCAUGGACUCUCACUUUGCCAGACAUACUGUAUUCAAAGCAUGACUAAGUAUAAUGAAAUUUCACAUGCUAAUAUUCAGGAUGCAGUAUAUAUUGUGUCCUGUUAUGAAUUUGGAUGUUUUUGAGGAGUGAUUUUAUCACUGAUGAUCUUCUUGUGGAGCAUCACAAACACCUUCACUUGGCUCAGCGUUAUUUCAUGUAAAACAAUCCUGCUGAAACAAAAUGUGACCAAAAAGUGCUAUUUUUCACUGGCACAACAGAAUACAACUUUCAUGAUCAUUUAUUCAUAUGGUUAAUCUAAUUUCCAUAAAAACAUUUCAUAUUAAACAUGAUCCGUAUUAUCUUGCAACACUUUACAACAGAUGUGUUUCCUUCACACUGUGAAUUUCUCCUGCUGUGUGAUUCUCUAGUUUUAAUGUUUAAUACUGUCUACUAAGUUUACCAUUGCUUUCUGCUGG
This is a long non-coding RNA of Cyprinus carpio carpio, 1530 nucleotides long. The record is from Ensembl. Lineage: Eukaryota; Metazoa; Chordata; Actinopteri; Cypriniformes; Cyprinidae.